GCUGGUGAUAAUAGAGAAGAGGGUACACCCGUUCCCAUCCCGAACACGGAAGUUAAGCUCUUCAUCCCCGACGAUACUUGGGGGGUAGCCCCCUGGGAAAAUAGGACAUCGCCAUCU
This 117-nucleotide ribosomal RNA is filed under the name Ktedonobacter sp. Lineage: Bacteria; Bacillati; Chloroflexota; Ktedonobacteria; Ktedonobacterales; Ktedonobacteraceae. The record is from RNAcentral.